RNAcentral lists this ribosomal RNA (562 nucleotides) under Vibrio toranzoniae. RNAcentral's name for it is "Bacterial large subunit ribosomal RNA". It matches the Rfam family "Bacterial large subunit ribosomal RNA", at positions 1223 to 1779 of the family's 2925-position model. Lineage: Bacteria; Pseudomonadati; Pseudomonadota; Gammaproteobacteria; Vibrionales; Vibrionaceae. The record is from Rfam by way of RNAcentral.
GUGGGGUAGGGGAGCGUUCUGUAAGCCGUUGAAGGUGGUCUGUAAGGGCUGCUGGAGGUAUCAGAAGUGCGAAUGCUGACAUGAGUAACGAUAAAGGGAGUGAAAAACUCCCUCGCCGGAAGACCAAGGGUUCCUGUCCAACGUUAAUCGGGGCAGGGUAAGUCGACUCCUAAGGCGAGGCCGAAAGGCGUAGUCGAUGGGAAACGGGUUAAUAUUCCCGUACUUCUUACAAUUGCGAUGGGGGGACGGAGAAGGCUAGGUGGGCCUGGCGACGGUUGUCCAGGUUCAAGUACGUAGGCGGAAGGUUUAGGUAAAUCCGGACUUUCUUAACGCUGAGAUACGAUGUCGAGCACCUACGGGUGUGAAGUCAUUGAUGCCAUGCUUCCAGGAAAAGCCUCUAAGCUUCAGAUUGUAAGGAAUCGUACCCCAAACCGACACAGGUGGUCGGGUAGAGAAUACCAAGGCGCUUGAGAGAACUCGGGUGAAGGAACUAGGCAAAAUGGUACCGUAACUUCGGGAGAAGGUACGCUCUUAUCAGUGAAGUCCCUUGCGGAUGGAGCAG